Molecule: non-coding RNA, 49 nt
Organism: Schistosoma mattheei
Lineage: Eukaryota; Metazoa; Platyhelminthes; Trematoda; Strigeidida; Schistosomatidae
Source: Rfam
AUUCAGCUGACGAGUCCCAACUAGGAUCAAACACGCGUCUAAACUGGAU